GUCUACAGCCACACCACCCUGAACGCACCCGAUCUCAUCUGAUCUUGGAAGCUAAGUGGGAUCAGGCCUGGUUAGUACUUGGAUGGGAGUUCCCAAAUCAGACCUAGAAAUCAGUCU
This 117-nucleotide ribosomal RNA is filed under the name Octodon degus (degu). The record is from RNAcentral. Lineage: Eukaryota; Metazoa; Chordata; Mammalia; Rodentia; Octodontidae.